Molecule: long non-coding RNA, 240 nt
Organism: Ipomoea triloba (trilobed morning glory)
Lineage: Eukaryota; Viridiplantae; Streptophyta; Magnoliopsida; Solanales; Convolvulaceae
Exons: 3
Source: RefSeq, a predicted model, not a curated record
CUUGCUUUGGGUAGAACUCAUAGAGUCUUUGGAAUUGGUUCUGCAAUCAACUUCAAGGGCCCUUCUUCAGCCACUGCUGGAGAAUUGAGUGAAAGUGGAAGAUUUAUGACUUGAUUCUGAAAGAAGAUCAAUGACACUUUUCUCUUUAAAUAAGUAUUGAUUCUGAUAAACUGUUGUCUUUCAUCAAGCAUGAGGCUGGCUCAGAUUACUUUUUUGUUCCCCAGGUAAAUUUAGUUCUCU